Molecule: long non-coding RNA, 1058 nt
Filed under: Sinocyclocheilus anshuiensis
Lineage: Eukaryota; Metazoa; Chordata; Actinopteri; Cypriniformes; Cyprinidae
Description: lncRNA (ENSSANG00000051858.1)
Source: RNAcentral
UGGAUGCUAACUUUGUCAAACAAACACGUCAAGCAAACUGGAAUCAAAUUCAAACAGAUCGAUGUGUCAUGACCCUCAUUAUAGAACCGAACAAAGUCAGAUUUUCACAGAGGAGUAAAAGAUCUUCCAUCCUGUCUGAUGACAGGCAGUUUGUGGGGCCCGACUCUCGUCAGGAUCAAACCUCAAGCCUGGAGGAGAGCAGCAGUGGGUCCGGCCCCUGGCAGACUGCUAGUCUAGCUGAGUCCUGGGCAUCCAUUAGCGACAUGGAGCCAGAGCUUGGAAGUGAGAUUGUCCUAGUUCAAGAGGACCACAGUGAAAACCACUUCUCCGCCUCUGACAACAUCAUCCACCUAGAGGUGGAGCUCCAUCAGAGGGCGGAGUCAGAAGAGGAGGAGGAGCUUCAGAGCAGCGUGCUGAGCAUGAUUGGCAGUGAGAAGGAGCUGGAAGAGAUUGGAGAACGUCCUGCAGACUCAGAUCUCAAGCCUCCAGAGACUGUGGAGCUCCUGAUGUGUGUGGUGGAGGAAAUUGAGGCAGAGAUGGAUUCAGAGCCAGUUUUCACUCACACUCCUCUUCUGUCUGAGCCUUUAGAUUUUACGCUGGCUUCGGUUCCCAUACCUGAAAUCAUCUCACAGGUUUUAGAUAAUCUCCCACCCUCCACACUCACACACUCAGAGGAACCUCAUGCCUCUCAAUCAGGCUCUAUUAAUGCACCUAGUGUGUCAGCGUCAUCUUCAGAAGAGGUUGUUCCAAAGGCAGACCCGCUUUCAGCCGCACCCUUUGAACUCCCUGUACUGCUGGUUAGUGGCGCCGCCCUGGUGGCGGUAAUGGCAAUACUUACAUUUAACUUGAUUAGAAAGUAGCUGUAGAUCUUUUGAAUAGUUUCAAAAUUGUAGAACAAUUCAACAAAUUGUAUUACUGAUUAUGUGAUAUAAAAAAUUAGAAGGUUAUUAAAUAUUGUCGCUUGUCUUAUUUUGUAUUUUUACACACAUACACACAGACUAAACACAAUCUGAGACUCUGGAUCAUCUUUAACCCCAAAAAUCAAAAGAAAAAAUACA